Molecule: ribosomal RNA, 423 nt
Filed under: uncultured bacterium
Lineage: Bacteria
Description: bacterial SSU rRNA
Rfam family: Bacterial small subunit ribosomal RNA
Source: RNAcentral
AAGACCUUGCGCUUUUGGAGCGGCCGAUGCCUGAUUAGCUUGUUGGUAAGGUAAAAGCUUACCAAGGCUUCGAUCAGUAGCUGGUCUGAGAGGACGACCAGCCACACUGGGACUGAGACACGGCCCAGACUCCUACGGGAGGCAGCAGUGGGGAAUUUUGGACAAUGGGGGCAACCCUAAUCCAGCCAUGCCGCGUGAGUGAAGAAGGCCUUCGGGUUGUAAAGCUCUUUCAGCCGGAACGAAACGGUUACGGAUAACACCCGUGACUACUGACGGUACCGGAAGAAGAAGCACCGGCUAACUACGUGCCAGCAGCCGCGGUAAUACGUAGGGUGCGAGCGUUAAUCGGAAUUACUGGGCGUAAAGCGUGCGCAGGUGGUUUUGUAAGUCAGAUGUGAAAGCCCCGGGCUCAACCUGGGAACU